CCUACGGGUGGCAGCAGUGGGGAAUAUUGGACAAUGGGGGGAACCCUGAUCCAGCCAUGCCGCGUGUGUGAAGAAGGCCCUCGGGUGGUAAAGCACUUUCAGUGAGGAAGAACGCCUGGUGGUUAAUACCCAUCAGGAAAGACAUCACUCACAGAAGAAGCACCGGCUAACUCCGUGCCAGCAGCCGCGGUAAUACGGAGGGUGCGAGCGUAAUCGGAAUUACUGGGCGUAAAGCGCGCGUAGGUGGCUUGAUAAGCCGGUUGUGAAAGCCCCGGGCUCAACCUGGGAACGGCAUCCGGAACUGUCAAGCUAGAGUGCAGGAGAGGAAGGUAGAAUUCCCGGUGUAGCGGUGAAAUGCGUAGAGAUCGGGAGGAAUACCAGUGGCGAAGGCGGCCUUCUGGACUGACACUGACACUGAGGUGCGAAAGCGUGGGUAGCAAACAGGAUUAGAUACCCCAGUAGUC
RNAcentral lists this ribosomal RNA (464 nucleotides) under Vreelandella stevensii. Its description in RNAcentral is "partial 16S ribosomal RNA". It matches the Rfam family "Bacterial small subunit ribosomal RNA", at positions 338 to 795 of the family's 1533-position model. The record is from RNAcentral. Lineage: Bacteria; Pseudomonadati; Pseudomonadota; Gammaproteobacteria; Oceanospirillales; Halomonadaceae.